RNAcentral lists this ribosomal RNA (453 nucleotides) under uncultured bacterium. Its description in RNAcentral is "partial 16S ribosomal RNA". It matches the Rfam family "Bacterial small subunit ribosomal RNA", at positions 28 to 507 of the family's 1533-position model. The record is from RNAcentral.
GAUGAACGCUGACAGAAUGCUUAACACAUGCAAGUCGACUUGAACUUCGGUUUGGUGGCGGGCCGGUGAGUAACGCGUAAAGAACUUGCCUCACAGCUACGGACAACCUUUGGAAACGGAUUCCAAUACCUGAUAUUUUGAUUAUAUUGCAUCGUAUAAUUAUUAAAGCUAUAUCCGCUGUGAGAGAGCUUUUCGUUCCAUUAGCUAGUUGGAGAGGUAACAGCUCACCAAGGCGAUGAAGGGUAGCCGGCCGCAGAGGGUGAUCGGCCACAAGGGGACUGAGACAAGGCCCUUACCACUACGGGAGGCAGGAGAGGGGAAUAUUGGACAAUGGACCGAGAGUCUGAUCCAGCCAUUCUGUGUGCAGGAUGAAGUUUUUCGGAAUGUAAAGUGCUUUCAGUUGCGAAGAAAAAAAUGAAGGUACCCACAGAAAAAGUCACGGCUAAAUACGUG